Molecule: small RNA, 1424 nt
Filed under: Arabidopsis thaliana (thale cress)
Lineage: Eukaryota; Viridiplantae; Streptophyta; Magnoliopsida; Brassicales; Brassicaceae
Description: ATSL204800
Source: RNAcentral
AUGAUUAGUCAAAUGCAUUAGAUUGUGACACAUUUAGACCAUAGAAACACUAACAAAGCUAUUUACUGCUUCUAAGCAAUGUUUUGUUGGUUUUAGCCUCUUUUGGGACAAAUUUGGUAUAAGUGUUGUCUAAAUACUCCUACUCCAUCUCUAACUCAUAUAAUUAGUCAAAUACAUUGGAUUGUGACACAUUUUGACCAUAGAAACACUAACAAGGCUAUUGACUACUACUCAGCAAUUUUUUAUUGGUUUUAGCCUCUUUUGAGAGAAAUGGGUGUAAGUGUUAUCUGAACACUCCUAAUCCAUCUCUAACUCUUAUAAUUAGUCAAAUACAUUGGAUUGUGACACAUUUGAUCAUAGAAACACUAACAAGGCUAUUGACUACUUCUCAUCAAUUGUUUGUUGGUUUUAGCCUCUUUUGGGACAAAAUGGGUAUAACUGUUGCCUAAACACUCCUAAUCUAUCUUUAACUCUUAUAAUUAGUCAAAUGCAUUGAAUUGUGGCAUAUUUUGACCAUAGAAACGCUAACAAAGCUAUUUACUACUUCUAAGCAAUUUUUUGUUGGUUUUACCCUCUUUUGGAACAAAAUGCGUAUAAGUGUUGUCUAAACACUCCUAAUCCAUCUCUAACUCAUAUAAUUAGUCAAUUGCAUUAGAUUGUGAUACAUUUUGAGCAUUGAAACAUUAACAAAGCUAUUUAUUGCUUCCAAGCAAUUUUUUGUUGGUUUUAGUCUUUUCUAGGACAAAAUGGGUAUAAGUGUUGUCUAAACACUCUAAUCUAUCUCUAACUCAUAUAAUUAGUCAAAUGCUUUGGAUUGUGACACCUCUUUACCAUAGAAACACUAACAAAUCUAUAUACUGCUUCUAAGCAAUUUUUUGUUUGUCUUAACCUCUUUUGGGAGAAAAUGGGUGUAAGUGUUGUCUGAACACUCCUAAUCCAUCUCUAACUCUUAUAAUUAAUCAAAUUCAUUGGAUUGUGACACGUUUUGACCAUAGAAACACUAACAAAGCUAUUUAUUGCUUCGAAGCAAUUUUUUGUUGGUUUUAGCUUCUUCUAGGACAAAAUGGGUAUAAGUAAAAAAUAAACACUCUAAUCUAUCUCUAACUCAUAGAAUUAGUCAAAUGCUUUGGAUUGUGACACAUUUUUACCAUAGAAACACUAACAAAGCUAUUUACUGCUUAUAAACAAUUUUUUGUUUGUUUUAGCCUCUUUUUGGAGAAAAUGGUUGUAAGUUUUGUCUGAACACUACUAAUCCAUCUCUAACUCUUAUAAUUAGUCAAAUGCAUUGGAUUGUGACACAUUUUGACCAUUGAAACACUAACAAGGUUAUUGACUACUUCUCAGCAAUUGUUUGUUGGUUUUAGCCUCUUUUGGUAGAAAAUGGGUAUAAGUGUUGUCUAAACACUCCUAAUUCAUCUAUAACU